RNAcentral lists this ribosomal RNA (332 nucleotides) under uncultured bacterium. RNAcentral describes it as "bacterial SSU rRNA". It matches the Rfam family "Bacterial small subunit ribosomal RNA", at positions 568 to 898 of the family's 1533-position model. The record is from RNAcentral.
CGCGUAGGUGGCUUGAUAAGUCGGUGGUGAAAUCCCAUGGCUCAACCAUGGAACUGCCGUCGAUACUGUCAGGCUUGAGGGCGGUAGGGGAGAGUGGAACUCCUGGUGUAGCGGUGAAAUGCGUAGAUAUCAGGAGGAACGCCGGUGGCGAAAGCGACUCUCUGGGCCGUUCCUGACACUGAUCCGCGAGAGCUAGGGGAGCAAACAGGAUUAGAUACCCUGGUAGUCCUAGCUGUAAACGAUGGGCACUAGGUAGAGGUGGUUUCGAAGCCUCCUCUGCCGGAGCUAAUGUGUUAAGUGCCCCGCCUGGGGAGUAUGGUCGCAAGGCUAAA